This 2926-nucleotide ribosomal RNA is filed under the name Klebsiella oxytoca. RNAcentral's name for it is "bacterial LSU rRNA". It matches the Rfam family "Bacterial large subunit ribosomal RNA". Lineage: Bacteria; Pseudomonadati; Pseudomonadota; Gammaproteobacteria; Enterobacterales; Enterobacteriaceae. The record is from RNAcentral.
GGGUUGUGAGGUUAAGCGACUAAGCGUACACGGUGGAUGCCCUGGCAGUCAGAGGCGAUGAAGGACGUGCUAAUCUGCGAAAAGCGUCGGUAAGGUGAUAUGAACCGUUACAGCCGGCGAUGUCCGAAUGGGGAAACCCAGUGCAAUUCGUUGCACUAUCGUUUGAUGAAUACAUAGUCAAACGAGGCGAACCGGGGGAACUGAAACAUCUAAGUACCCCGAGGAAAAGAAAUCAACCGAGAUUCCCCCAGUAGCGGCGAGCGAACGGGGAGCAGCCCGGAGUCUGAAUCAGCUUGUGUGUUAGUGGAAGCGUCUGGAAAGUCGCAGGGUACAGGGUGAUACUCCCGUACACUAAAACACACAGGUUGUGAACUCGAAGAGUAGGGCGGGACACGUGGUAUCCUGUCUGAAUAUGGGGGGACCAUCCUCCAAGGCUAAAUACUCCUGACUGACCGAUAGUGAACCAGUACCGUGAGGGAAAGGCGAAAAGAACCCCGGCGAGGGGAGUGAAAAAGAACCUGAAACCGUGUACGUACAAGCAGUAGGAGCCCACUAGUUGGGUGACUGCGUACCUUUUGUAUAAUGGGUCAGCGACUUAUAUUCUGUAGCAAGGUUAACCGUAUAGGGGAGCCGCAGGGAAACCGAGUCUUAACUGGGCGUUAAGUUGCAGGGUAUAGACCCGAAACCCGGUGAUCUAGCCAUGGGCAGGUUGAAGGUUGGGUAACACUAACUGGAGGACCGAACCGACUAAUGUUGAAAAAUUAGCGGAUGACUUGUGGCUGGGGGUGAAAGGCCAAUCAAACCGGGAGAUAGCUGGUUCUCCCCGAAAGCUAUUUAGGUAGCGCCUCGUGAAUUCAUCUUCGGGGGUAGAGCACUGUUUCGGCUAGGGGGUCAUCCCGACUUACCAACCCGAUGCAAACUACGAAUACCGAAGAAUGUUAUCACGGGAGACACACGGCGGGUGCUAACGUCCGUCGUGAAGAGGGAAACAACCCAGACCGCCAGCUAAGGUCCCAAAGUCAUGGUUAAGUGGGAAACGAUGUGGGAAGGCCCAGACAGCCAGGAUGUUGGCUUAGAAGCAGCCAUCAUUUAAAGAAAGCGUAAUAGCUCACUGGUCGAGUCGGCCUGCGCGGAAGAUGUAACGGGGCUAAACCAUGCACCGAAGCUGCGGCAGCGACACUAUGUGUUGUUGGGUAGGGGAGCGUUCUGUAAGCCGUUGAAGGUGGCCUGUGAGGGUUGCUGGAGGUAUCAGAAGUGCGAAUGCUGACAUAAGUAACGAUAAUGCGGGUGAAAAACCCGCACGCCGGAAGACCAAGGGUUCCUGUCCAACGUUAAUCGGGGCAGGGUGAGUCGACCCCUAAGGCGAGGCCGAAAGGCGUAGUCGAUGGGAAACAGGUUAAUAUUCCUGUACUCGGUGUUACUGCGAAGGGGGGACGGAGAAGGCUAUGUUGGCCGGGCGACGGUUGUCCCGGUUUAAGCGUGUAGGUGUGUGUUCCAGGUAAAUCCGGUUCACUUUAACACUGAGGCGUGAUGACGAGGCACUACGGUGCUGAAGUGACAAAUGCCCUGCUUCCAGGAAAAGCCUCUAAGCAUCAGGUAACAUCAAAUCGUACCCCAAACCGACACAGGUGGUCAGGUAGAGAAUACCAAGGCGCUUGAGAGAACUCGGGUGAAGGAACUAGGCAAAAUGGUGCCGUAACUUCGGGAGAAGGCACGCUGAUGGUAAGUGAAGCGACUUGCUCGUGGAGCUGAAAUCAGUCGAAGAUACCAGCUGGCUGCAACUGUUUAUUAAAAACACAGCACUGUGCAAACACGAAAGUGGACGUAUACGGUGUGACGCCUGCCCGGUGCCGGAAGGUUAAUUGAUGGGGUUAUCCUCGCGGAGAAGCUCUUGAUCGAAGCCCCGGUAAACGGCGGCCGUAACUAUAACGGUCCUAAGGUAGCGAAAUUCCUUGUCGGGUAAGUUCCGACCUGCACGAAUGGCGUAAUGAUGGCCAGGCUGUCUCCACCCGAGACUCAGUGAAAUUGAACUCGCUGUGAAGAUGCAGUGUACCCGCGGCAAGACGGAAAGACCCCGUGAACCUUUACUAUAGCUUGACACUGAACACUGGUCCUUGAUGUGUAGGAUAGGUGGGAGGCUUUGAAGUGUGGACGCCAGUCUGCAUGGAGCCAUCCUUGAAAUACCACCCUUUAAUGGCUGGUGUUCUAACGUGGGCCCCUAAUCGGGGUUGCGGACAGUGUCUGGUGGGUAGUUUGACUGGGGCGGUCUCCUCCUAAAGAGUAACGGAGGAGCACGAAGGUCAGCUAAUCCUGGUCGGACAUCAGGAGGUUAGUGCAAUGGCAUAAGCUGGCUUGACUGCGAGCGUGACGGCGCGAGCAGGUGCGAAAGCAGGUCAUAGUGAUCCGGUGGUUCUGAAUGGAAGGGCCAUCGCUCAACGGAUAAAAGGUACUCCGGGGAUAACAGGCUGAUACCGCCCAAGAGUUCAUAUCGACGGCGGUGUUUGGCACCUCGAUGUCGGCUCAUCACAUCCUGGGGCUGAAGUAGGUCCCAAGGGUAUGGCUGUUCGCCAUUUAAAGUGGUACGCGAGCUGGGUUUAGAACGUCGUGAGACAGUUCGGUCCCUAUCUGCCGUGGGCGCUGGAGAAUUGAGGGGGGCUGCUCCUAGUACGAGAGGACCGGAGUGGACGCAUCACUGGUGUUCGGGUUGUCAUGCCAAUGGCAUUGCCCGGUAGCUAAAUGCGGAAGAGAUAAGUGCUGAAAGCAUCUAAGCACGAAACUUGCCCCGAGAUGAGUUCUCCCUGACUCCUUGAGAGUCCUGAAGGAACGUUGAAGACGACGACGUUGAUAGGCCGGGUGUGUAAGCGCAGCGAUGCGUUGAGCUAACCGGUACUAAUGAACCGUGAGGCUUAACCUUACAACGCCGAAG